UUGAUCCUGGCUCAGAUUGAACGCUGGCGGCAGGCUUAACACAUGCAAGUCGAGCGGUAGCACAGGGGAGCUUGCUCCCUGGGUGACGAGCGGCGGACGGGUGAGUAAUGUCUGGGAAACUGCCUGAUGGAGGGGGAUAACUACUGGAAACGGUAGCUAAUACCGCAUAACGUCGCAAGACCAAAGAGGGGGACCUUCGGGCCUCUUGCCAUCAGAUGUGCCCAGAUGGGAUUAGCUAGUAGGUGGGGUAAUGGCUCACCUAGGCGACGAUCCCUAGCUGGUCUGAGAGGAUGACCAGCCACACUGGAACUGAGACACGGUCCAGACUCCUACGGGAGGCAGCAGUGGGGAAUAUUGCACAAUGGGCGCAAGCCUGAUGCAGCCAUGCCGCGUGUGUGAAGAAGGCCUUCGGGUUGUAAAGCACUUUCAGCGAGGAGGAAGGUGGUGAGCUUAAUACGCUCAUCAAUUGACGUUACUCGCAGAAGAAGCACCGGCUAACUCCGUGCCAGCAGCCGCGGUAAUACGGAGGGUGCAAGCGUUAAUCGGAAUUACUGGGCGUAAAGCGCACGCAGGCGGUUUGUUAAGUCAGAUGUGAAAUCCCCGGGCUCAACCUGGGAACUGCAUUUGAAACUGGCAAGCUAGAGUCUCGUAGAGGGGGGUAGAAUUCCAGGUGUAGCGGUGAAAUGCGUAGAGAUCUGGAGGAAUACCGGUGGCGAAGGCGGCCCCCUGGACGAAGACUGACGCUCAGGUGCGAAAGCGCGGGGAGCAAACAGGAUUAGAUACCCUGGUAGUCCACGCUGU
Molecule: ribosomal RNA, 801 nt
Filed under: uncultured Serratia sp.
Lineage: Bacteria; Pseudomonadati; Pseudomonadota; Gammaproteobacteria; Enterobacterales; Yersiniaceae
Description: bacterial SSU rRNA
Rfam family: Bacterial small subunit ribosomal RNA
Source: RNAcentral